UUCCGGUUGAUCCUGCCGGAGGCCAUUGCUAUUGGAGUCCGAUUUAGCCAUGCUAGUCGCGCGGGUUAGACCCGCGGCAUAUAGCUCAGUAACACGUGGCCAAACUACCCUAUGGACAGGGACAACCUCGGGAAACUGAGGCCAAUCCCUGAUACAGCUCUCAUGCUGGAGUGCAGAGAGUUGGAAACGCUCCGGCGCCAUAGGAUGUGGCUGCGGCCGAUUAGGUAGAUGGUGGGGUAACGGCCCACCAUGCCAAUAAUCGGUACGGGUCAUGAGAGUGAGAGCCCGGAGACGGUAUCUGAGACAAGAUACCGGGCCCUACGGGGCGCAGCAGGCGCGAAACCUUUACACUGCACGACAGUGCGAUAAGGGGACUCCAAGUGCGAGGGCAUAUAGCCCUCGCUUUUCUGUACCGUAGGGAGGUACAGGAACAAGUGCUGGGCAAGACCGGUGCCAGCCGCCGCGGU
Molecule: ribosomal RNA, 467 nt
Filed under: uncultured archaeon
Lineage: Archaea
Description: bacterial SSU rRNA
Rfam family: Archaeal small subunit ribosomal RNA
Source: RNAcentral